AUUAUGGCUCAGGAUGAACGCUAGCGGCAGGCUUAACACAUGCAAGUCGAGGGGCAGCAUAAUGGAUAGCAAUAUCUAUGGUGGCGACCGGCGCACGGGUGCGUAACGCGUAUGCAACCUACCUUUAACAGGGGGAUAACACUGAGAAAUUGGUACUAAUACCCCAUAAUAUCAUAGAAGGCAUCUUUUAUGGUUGAAAAUUCCGAUGGUUAGAGAUGGGCAUGCGUUGUAUUAG
Molecule: ribosomal RNA, 235 nt
Filed under: uncultured bacterium
Lineage: Bacteria
Description: partial 16S ribosomal RNA
Rfam family: Bacterial small subunit ribosomal RNA
Source: RNAcentral